GAAUCGCUAGUAAUCGCGGAUCAGCACGCCGCGGUGAAUACGUUCCCGGGCCUUGUACACACCGCCCGUCACACCAUGAGAGUUUGUAACACCCGAAGCCGGUGGCGUAACCCUUUUAGGGAGCGAGCCGUCUAAGGUGGGACAAAUGAUUAGGGUGAAGUCGUAACAAGGUAGCCGUAGGAGAACCUGCGGCUGGAUCACCUCCUUU
This 208-nucleotide ribosomal RNA is filed under the name Lacticaseibacillus rhamnosus. Its description in RNAcentral is "Lactobacillus rhamnosus partial 16S rRNA". It matches the Rfam family "Bacterial small subunit ribosomal RNA", at positions 1329 to 1533 of the family's 1533-position model. Lineage: Bacteria; Bacillati; Bacillota; Bacilli; Lactobacillales; Lactobacillaceae. The record is from RNAcentral.